UACUAGUAUAUAUGAGAAUGAAUCUAAUACUACGGAUUAGAUUCAGUCGGAAGGCUAGGAUUAAAACAACUAAUGGAAACAUUGUAAUUCAACAUAAAUCAUCCACCUUCCCAUUUAAUGAUGAAACGCUAUUUUCUCUCUCCAAAAUUAGUUUCUACCACUUUUUCUCUCUCUCUCUCUCUCUCUCUCUCUCUCUCUCUCUCUCUCUCUCUUCAAUACUGCCAUUCCUCUCUCCUCAAAACCUCCAUAGAAGCUUGAACAUCUCCGAUUUCUCGUCAUUUUCUUGCCAAUUACAGCUGAAUAUUGUUGCUUCAAACCAAAUUAUUGCCGAUUUCAUCUAUAAUUCUUCUUAUUCUUGAAAAACUACGUGAAUUAAAACCUAGAAAUUCAAAAUUGAAGAUGACAAAAGAAAAAGAAGCUAGCUACAAAUCAAAGUGAAGAACCUAUGGAAUAAGAAAAAGGAAAAAGGUUCAUAUUCGAAGUGAGGAUGAAGUGCGCGAGAAUGAAGAUAAAAACACUACUUCUGAAUUGAAAACUACAAAAAAAUUCAUAGGGAAUAUUCAAAGGAAGGAAAUGAGAUUAAACACGCUAAAACAUCGGAGCCAGAGGGCAUUGGUAGCCCAAUUGCCGAAGAAUCACUUUUGAAGGACAUCCUUGAAAAUAUUGGUUUGAGAAAAUGAAGAGAUUGAUGGUUGAGUAUUGUGGUAAGAUAUUGACGCACAAGGAAAAUGAUGAGCGUCGUGUUAUGGUUUCAAAGUCAAGGAAAUGGGCAACAAAGAAUCAAAUUUAACGGAAUCAUAAUGUCUUUGUAACAUCAAAUGUUGAAUUUCUUGUAAAUACUUUAUGUUGAGUUCGUAAAAUUAGUAAACCGACAUUUUUUAUAUUGGAUGGUUUUGAUCAACUUGUAAUAGAUUCAAUUCAUUUUCAAA
Long non-coding RNA from Spinacia oleracea (spinach), 929 nucleotides. RefSeq lists it as uncharacterized. The record is from RefSeq and is a predicted model, not a curated record. The transcript is spliced from 4 exons. NCBI's taxonomy places the organism in Eukaryota, Viridiplantae, Streptophyta, Magnoliopsida, Caryophyllales, Amaranthaceae.